UACGUGGGGAGCAAGCGUUGUCCGGAAUCAUUGGGCGUAAAGCGCGCGUAGGUGGCCAUGUAAGUCCGCUGUGAAAGUCGAAGGCUCAACCUUCGAAAGCCGGUGGAUACUGCAUGGCUAGAGUACGGAAGAGGCGAGUGGAAUUCCUGGUGUAGCGGUGGAAUGCGCAGAUAUCAGGAGGAACACCAAUAGCGAAGGCAGCUCGCUGGGACGUUACUGACACUGAGGCGCGAAAGCGUGGGGAGCGAACAGG
This 253-nucleotide ribosomal RNA is filed under the name uncultured bacterium. RNAcentral describes it as "partial 16S ribosomal RNA". It matches the Rfam family "Bacterial small subunit ribosomal RNA", at positions 524 to 776 of the family's 1533-position model. The record is from RNAcentral.